This 270-nucleotide ribosomal RNA is filed under the name Synechococcus sp. UW95. Its description in RNAcentral is "partial 16S ribosomal RNA". It matches the Rfam family "Bacterial small subunit ribosomal RNA", at positions 1265 to 1533 of the family's 1533-position model. RNAcentral also lists the same sequence under 1 other name. Lineage: Bacteria; Bacillati; Cyanobacteriota; Cyanophyceae; Synechococcales; Synechococcaceae. The record is from RNAcentral.
AAGCAAAUCCCAUAAACCGUGGCUCAGUUCAGAUCGUAGGCUGCAACUCGCCUACGUGAAGGCGGAAUCGCUAGUAAUCGCAGGUCAGCAUACUGCGGUGAAUACGUUCCCGGGCCUUGUACACACCGCCCGUCACACCAUGGAAGUUGGCCACGCCCGAAGCCGUUACUCCAACCCUUGUGGAGGAGGACGUCGAAGGUGGGGCUGAUGACUGGGGUGAAGUCGUAACAAGGUAUCCGUACCGGAAGGUGCGGAUGGAUCACCUCCUAA